CUUAUAUAGUGCUUCUCAAGACAGAGACGCUUUGCACUAAUCAGAUAACCUAAUAACAACCCAGGUAGCGGGUGCUGGUGUCAGCGACGUUAUCCACUGCAGUGGAACGCAGACAGGUGGUGAGAUCCGAACUGGACAUCUGCUGGAGCUCGCUGUUAAUCAGUCACAACCAAAGUCGGGUGUUCAAGAGCUUGCUGAGAGAGUGAUAGGGAGAGAGCUGGAGCCUAUCCCAGCUAACUUCUGGCGAAGGCAGACUACACUAUGAACUGGUCGCCAGCCAGUCGCAGGGCAGAUAUCGACACCACCACUGAGCGGGAAUUGAUCCCACGCUGCCUGCAUCAAAUGCAGUUUGUUUUUGCAGAUGAUAAUGAUUCACAGACGCAAAGACCCAUAGCCCUCCACCAAGACCUCACCGGAAGGAGGUGUCUCAUUG
This is a long non-coding RNA of Syngnathoides biaculeatus (alligator pipefish), 433 nucleotides long. RefSeq lists it as uncharacterized. Lineage: Eukaryota; Metazoa; Chordata; Actinopteri; Syngnathiformes; Syngnathidae. The transcript is spliced from 3 exons. The record is from RefSeq and is a predicted model, not a curated record.